UACGGAGGGUGCAAGCGUUAAUCGGAAUUACUGGGCGUAAAGCGUGCGCAGGCGGUUUGUUAAGUCCGCUGUGAAAUCCCCGAGCUCAACUUGGGAAUUGCAGUGGAUACUGGCGGGCUGGAGGGAGGUAGGGGCGGAUGGAACUUCCGGUGGAGCGGUGAAAUGCGUAGAUAUCGGAAGGAACGCCGGUGGCGAAAGCGAUCCGCUGGACCUCUUCUGACGCUGAGGCGCGAAAGCCAGGGGAGCAAACGGG
Molecule: ribosomal RNA, 253 nt
Filed under: uncultured bacterium
Lineage: Bacteria
Description: partial 16S ribosomal RNA
Rfam family: Bacterial small subunit ribosomal RNA
Source: RNAcentral